UACGUAGGGCGCAAGCGUUAUCCGGAGUUACUGGGCGUAAAGGGCGUGCAGGCGGCUUGAUAAGUUCGGCGUGAAAUUUCCCGGCUUAACCGGGGGAUGUCGUCGGAGACUGUCGAGCUAGAGGGUGAUAGAGGCGUGUGGAAUUCCGGGUGUAGUGGUGAAAUGCGUAGAGAUCCGGAGGAACACCAGUGGCGAAGGCGACACGCUGGGUCAUACCUGACGCUAAAACGCGACAGCAUGGGGAGCGAACGGG
This 253-nucleotide ribosomal RNA is filed under the name uncultured bacterium. RNAcentral describes it as "partial 16S ribosomal RNA". It matches the Rfam family "Bacterial small subunit ribosomal RNA", at positions 524 to 776 of the family's 1533-position model. The record is from RNAcentral.